Molecule: ribosomal RNA, 472 nt
Filed under: uncultured bacterium
Lineage: Bacteria
Description: partial 16S ribosomal RNA
Rfam family: Bacterial small subunit ribosomal RNA
Source: RNAcentral
GACGAACGCUGGCGGCGUGCUUAACACAUGCAAGUCGAACGCUGAAGCUUGGUGCUUGCACUGGGUGGAUGAGGGGCGAACGGGUGAGUAAUACGUGAGUAACCUGCCCUUGACUCUGGGAUAAGCCUGGGAAACUGGGUCUAAUACUGGAUACGACAUGCCACUGCAUGGUGGUGUGUGGAAAGGGUUUUACUGGUUUUGGAUGGGCUCACGGCCUAUCAGCUUGUUGGUGGGGUAAUGGCCUACCAAGGCGACGACGGGUAGCCGGCCUGAGAGGGUGACCGGCCACACUGGGACUGAGACACGGCCCAGACUCCUACGGGAGGCAGCAGUGGGGAAUAUUGCACAAUGGGCGGAAGCCUGAUGCAGCGACGCCGCGUGAGGGAUGACGGCCUUCGGGUUGUAAACCUCUUUCAGCACGGAAGAAGCGAGAGUGACGGUACGUGCAGAAGAAGCGCCGGCUAACUACGUG